This 253-nucleotide ribosomal RNA is filed under the name uncultured bacterium. RNAcentral describes it as "partial 16S ribosomal RNA". It matches the Rfam family "Bacterial small subunit ribosomal RNA", at positions 524 to 776 of the family's 1533-position model. The record is from RNAcentral.
UACGUAGGUGGCGAGCGUUGUCCGGAUUUACUGGGUGUAAAGGGCGUGUAGGCGGGCUUUUAAGUCAGAUGUGAAAUGCCGCAGCUCAACUGCGGAACUGCAUUUGAAACUGAAAGUCUUGAGUGUCGGAGAGGAAAGCGGAAUUCCUAGUGUAGCGGUGAAAUGCGUAGAUAUUAGGAAGAACACCGGUGGCGAAGGCGGCUUUCUGGACGAUAACUGACGCUGAGGAGCGAAAGCGUGGGGAGCAAACAGG